RNAcentral lists this ribosomal RNA (518 nucleotides) under uncultured Glomus. RNAcentral describes it as "SSU rRNA". It matches the Rfam family "Eukaryotic small subunit ribosomal RNA", at positions 572 to 1092 of the family's 1831-position model. The record is from RNAcentral. Lineage: Eukaryota; Fungi; Glomeromycota; Glomeromycetes; Glomerales; Glomeraceae.
AGCCGCGGUAAUUCCAGCUCCAAUAGCGUAUAUUAAAGUUGCUGCAGUUAAAAAGCUCGUAGUUGAAUUUCGGAACCAAUAUGUUGGUUGUGCCUCGGUACGUACUGGCAUUGUUGGUUUCUCCCUUCUGACGAACUAUGAUGUCAUUAAUUUGGUGUCAUGGGGAAUCAGGACUGUUACUUUGAAAAAAUUAGAGUGUUUAAAGCAGGCUCACGCUUGAAUACAUUAGCAUGGAAUAAUGAAAUAGGACGUUUGAUUCUAUUUUGUUGGUUUCUAGGAUUGACGUAAUGAUUAAUAGGGAUAGUUGGGGGCAUUAGUAUUCAAUUGUCAGAGGUGAAAUUCUUGGAUUUAUUGAAGACUAACUACUGCGAAAGCAUUUGCCAAGGAUGUUUUCAUUAAUCAAGAACGAAAGUUAGGGGAUCGAAGACGAUCAGAUACCGUCGUAGUCUUAACCAUAAACUAUGCCGACUAGGGAUCGGAUGAUGUUAAUUUUUUAAUGACUCAUUCGGCGCCUUACG